RNAcentral lists this ribosomal RNA (254 nucleotides) under uncultured bacterium. Its description in RNAcentral is "partial 16S ribosomal RNA". It matches the Rfam family "Bacterial small subunit ribosomal RNA", at positions 524 to 776 of the family's 1533-position model. The record is from RNAcentral.
CACGUAGGGUGCGAGCGUUGUCCGGAAUUAUUGGGCGUAAAGAGCUCGUAGGCGGUGUGUCGCGUCGGCCGUGAAAACCUGCAGCUUAACUGUGGGCUUGCGGUCGAUACGGGCAUCACUGGAGUUCGGCAGGGGAGACUGGAAUUCCUGGUGUAGCGGUGAAAUGCGCAGAUAUCAGGAGGAACACCGGUGGCGAAGGCGGGUCUCUGGACCGAUACUGACGCUGAGACGCGAAAGCGUGGGGAGCGAACAGG